UAUAUUUAACAUCGAAAACCUGUUCCCCACCUGAUAUUUUAAUGUAAGAAAAUGUUAACCACGUUAGCGACGCGAUGGUUCGUCUUCAUCAACGUAAUAAACGUAAACAGUGCAAUGACUUGAUUUAUUAAUCGGAAGAAGUGGAGGUGCCGGUAAUGUCUGAGCAGAAAGGCGGCAAAAUGUUAAACUAAACUCAAUGUUGCCGCUGAAGCAGAAACCGGAGGCAGUAUGUUGGCCCAGUCGACCCGUCGGAGCUUCCAUACGCCUUCUGCUAUGUUACGAUGUCGUACAUAUGGAUGGAACGGUGAAACACGUGGAGUCCACAGCGCAGAUGGCGAAACAUGUGAAUGAAAAA
Molecule: long non-coding RNA, 355 nt
Organism: Bradysia coprophila
Lineage: Eukaryota; Metazoa; Arthropoda; Insecta; Diptera; Sciaridae
Source: RefSeq, a predicted model, not a curated record